AGCGAACGCUGGCGGCAGGCCUAACACAUGCCAGUCGAACGAACCUUUCGGGGUUAGUGGCGGACGGGUGAGUAACACGUGGGAACGUGCCUUUAGGUUCGGAAUAACUCAGGGAAACUUGUGCUAAUACCGAAUGUGCCCUUCGGGGGAAAGAUUAAUCGCCUUUAGAGCGGCCCGCGUCUGAUUAGCUAGUUGGUUGAGGUAAUGGCUCACCAAGGCGACGAUCAGUAGCUGGUCUGAGAGGAUGAUCAGCCACAUUGGGACUGAGACACGGCCCAAACUCCUACGGGAGGCAGCAGUGGGGAAUCUUGCGCAAUGGGCGAAAGCCUGACGCAGCCAUGCCGCGUGAAUGAUGAAGGUCUUAGGAUUGUAAAAUUCUUUCACCGGGGACGAUAAUGACGGUACCCGGAGAAGAAGCCCCGGCUAACUUCGUGC
Molecule: ribosomal RNA, 435 nt
Filed under: uncultured bacterium
Lineage: Bacteria
Description: partial 16S ribosomal RNA
Rfam family: Bacterial small subunit ribosomal RNA
Source: RNAcentral